AUCACACACACACGCACUCCCUGUCUUCUCUCCCUCCCGUAGCUCUCUCUGUCCCUCUCCCUCACGAUCUCUCUCUUUCCCCUCACCCUAUACGUACGGCCUUCACCCAAAACCCUUCAAAACUCGACGGAUCGAGGCAAAUAAGGUAUGCAUCUUCAUCCUUUCGUCGUCCUGAGUUCAUUGGUGCUAGUUUUAGGAAGUGAAACCUUCGAUUUCACAUAGAUCCCGAACCUCCAUUUUUGAGGUACUGUUCAUGCGAACGUAAAAUGUUGUGUUUCAGGAGAUUUCAAGCUUGUGGUGAGCUUUAGGAGGUUCUAAGGAAGCUCGGGGACGUUCGUUGGAGAGUUUUGGACGUCGGGAUCGUAGGUUUCAAGUUUGGCCGAAUCUUGGUUUUUGCAAGGUGAGAUUUCGUAGUUUUUAGGCCCUAAAACAAGUCCAACGUGAUUGUACACUCUUAGGGCUUC
Molecule: long non-coding RNA, 464 nt
Filed under: Malus domestica (apple)
Lineage: Eukaryota; Viridiplantae; Streptophyta; Magnoliopsida; Rosales; Rosaceae
Description: long non-coding RNA (MDOM_LNC016133)
Source: RNAcentral